Molecule: ribosomal RNA, 409 nt
Filed under: bacterium
Lineage: Bacteria
Description: partial 16S ribosomal RNA
Rfam family: Bacterial small subunit ribosomal RNA
Source: RNAcentral
UGGGGAAUAUUGCACAAUGGGCGAAAGCCUGAUGCAGCGACGCCGCGUGAGGGAUGACGGCCUUCGGGUUGUAAACCUCUUUCAGCAGGGACGAAGCGCAAGUGACGGUACCUGCAGAAGAAGCACCGGCUAACUACGUGCCAGCAGCCGCGGUAAUACGUAGGGUGCAAGCGUUGUCCGGAAUUACUGGGCGUAAAGAGUUCGUAGGCGGUUUGUCGCGUCGUUUGUGAAAACCAGCAGCUCAACUGCUGGCUUGCAGGCGAUACGGGCAGACUUGAGUACUGCAGGGGAGACUGGAAUUCCUGGUGUAGCGGUGAAAUGCGCAGAUAUCAGGAGGAACACCGGUGGCGAAGGCGGGUCUCUGAGCAGUAACUGACGCUGAGGAACGAAAGCGUGGGUUGCGGCCAGG